This 896-nucleotide long non-coding RNA is filed under the name Homo sapiens (human). RNAcentral describes it as "HSALNT0077846". The record is from RNAcentral. Lineage: Eukaryota; Metazoa; Chordata; Mammalia; Primates; Hominidae.
GCUCUCUGUAAAAUGGACCAGUCAGCUCUCCGUAACAUGGACAAUCAGCAGGAUGUGGGUGGGGCCAGAUAAGGGAAGCAGGCCUCCGAAGCCAGCAGUGGCAACCCACUUGGGUCCCUUUCAAUGCUGUGGAAGCGUUGUUCUUUCACUCUUCUCAAUAAAUCUUGCUGCUGCUCACUCUUUGGGUCUGCCCCGCUGUUAUGAGCUGUAACACUCACAGCCAGUGUCUGCAGUUUCACUCCUGAAGCCAGCAAGACCACAAACCCACAGGGCGGGACAAACAACUCCGGACAGGAGGAAUGAACAACUCUGGACGCGCCACUUCUAUGAACUUUUAUGAACUGUAACACUCACCGCAAAGGUCUGCAGCUUCACCCCUGAGGCCAGGGAGACCACGAACCCACCGGAAGGAAUGAACAACUCCAGACGCACUGCCUUUAAGAGCUGUAACACUUACCACGGAUGUCUGCAGCUUCACUCCUGAAGUCAGCGAGACCACAAACCCAACAGAAGGAAGAAACUCCCGACACAUCUGAACAUCUGAAGGAACAAACUCUGGACACACCAUCUUUAAGAACUGUAACACUCACCGUGAGGGUCAACCGCUUCAUUCUUGAAGUCAGCCAGACCAAGAACCCACCAAUUCCGUCUAUCUGAAUCAUGUUAUUGGACCAUGAGAGCAAGCAGCUGGAUCUCAUUCUGUCCAGGCUAUUGCUAAGGCAGGCUGGCUGCCUUCAUCUUCCCCAGUAUUCUAGGAUAACCUCAAAGAAAUCACAACAGCUUGUUUUCUACAAUUAAAACAUUUGGGUUUUGAUAGUGUGCAUGGUCUACAAAGAAGUGAGAAGUGUAGCUGUUUGUAUGGAAUCUUAUGGUGAACAUUGCUGGCUCCAACAUAU